This 253-nucleotide ribosomal RNA is filed under the name uncultured bacterium. RNAcentral describes it as "partial 16S ribosomal RNA". It matches the Rfam family "Bacterial small subunit ribosomal RNA", at positions 524 to 776 of the family's 1533-position model. The record is from RNAcentral.
UACGUAGGGUGCAAGCGUUAAUCGGAAUUACUGGGCGUAAAGCGCGCGUAGGUGGUUCAGUAAGUUGGAAGUGAAAUCCCCGGGCUCAACCUGGGAACUGCUUUCAAAACUGCUGAGCUAGAGUACGGUAGAGGGUAGUGGAAUUUCCUGUGUAGCGGUGAAAUGCGUAGAUAUAGGAAGGAACACCAGUGGCGAAGGCGACCACCUGGGCUCAUACUGACACUGAGGUGCGAAAGCGUGGGGAGCAAACAGG